AGCGAACGCUGGCGGCAGGCCUAACACAUGCAAGUCGAACGAACCUUUCGGGGUUAGUGGCGGACGGGUGCGUAACACGUGGGAACGUGCCUUUAGGUUCGGAAUAACUCAGGGAAACUUGUGCUAAUACCGAAUGUUCCCUUCGGGGGAAAGAUUAAUCGCCUUUAGAGCGGCCCGCGUCUGAUUAGCUAGUUGGUUGAGGUAAUGGCUCACCAAGGCGACGAUCAGUAGCUGGUCUGAGAGGAUGAUCAGCCACAUUGGGACUGAGACACGGCCCAAACUCCUACGGGAGGCAGCAGUGGGGAAUCUUGCGCAAUGGGCGAAAGCCUGACGCAGCCAUGCCGCGUGAAUGAUGAAGGUCUUAGGAUUGUAAAAUUCUUUCACCGGGGACGAUAAUGACGGUACCCGGAGAAGAAGCCCCGGCUAACUUCGUG
Molecule: ribosomal RNA, 434 nt
Filed under: uncultured bacterium
Lineage: Bacteria
Description: partial 16S ribosomal RNA
Rfam family: Bacterial small subunit ribosomal RNA
Source: RNAcentral